Molecule: ribosomal RNA, 492 nt
Filed under: uncultured bacterium
Lineage: Bacteria
Description: partial 16S ribosomal RNA
Rfam family: Bacterial small subunit ribosomal RNA
Source: RNAcentral
AGUGAACGCUGGCGGUAGGCCUAACACAUGCAAGUCGAACGGCAGCACAGUAAGAGCUUGCUCUUACGGGUGGCGAGUGGCGGACGGGUGAGGAAUACAUCGGAAUCUACUUUUUCGUGGGGGAUAACGUAGGGAAACUUACGCUAAUACCGCAUACGACCUACGGGUGAAAGCAGGGGAUCUUCGGACCUUGCGCGAUUGAAUGAGCCGAUGUCGGAUUAGCUAGUUGGCGGGGUAAAGGCCCACCAAGGCGACGAUCCGUAGCUGAUCUGAGAGGAUGGUCAGCCACACUGGAACUGAGACACGGUCCAGACUCCUACGGGAGGCAGCAGUGGGGAAUAUUGGACAAUGGGCGCAAGCCUGAUCCAGCCAUACCGCGUGGGUGAAGAAGGCCUUCGGGUUGUAAAGCCCUUUUGUUGGGAAAGAAAAGCAGCAGGUUAAUACCCCGCUGUUCUGACGGUACCCAAAGAAUAAGCACCGGCUAACUUCGUG